UAGAUUCUCCGGCCACCACCAUCUGAGUCAUUUUCUUGAAAAGAAAUUCAGAUUCCAAAAUUCCCUUUUAUCACUGCAGAUUUUGUUUCCCUCCGGCGGGAACUGUAAGAACCCGUUUGGAAAAAAUGGUCAUAUAAAGAGGUGGUCAACUUUGCAGGCCGUAUAAAGUUAGUUCUGGUUUUCUUUUCAAGAUUUUAGCGAGCAGCAGUCAGCAGUCAGAACCAGAAAAUUAGAUGGGAAUGUAGGUAUGCUUCAUUGGCUAAAGUUAUUAUUAUGAUGAAGAUAAACCAUGCCUUUUCAGUUUGGACUGUGGGAGUGGGACCCACCCGGGGCUUCCAUUACCAUCAACAAGCAAGUAUCCUGUAUCCUAGAAGCUAGAGAGGAGUGGGCGUAAGUGCGUAGAUGGGGUGCUACGGCAUGUAAUUGGGAUAAAAGUAAGGGUAAAUUCCUCGACCGGUCCCCAAACUUUCAUAAGUAUGUCAAUUCUGUCUCAAGCCUUUCAUUUAUAGUAUUAAUGUAAUAAAGGACCAAAUUGUUUUACAAAGAUUUUCUUUAUUUAAAAAACUAAACGACUACUGUUCAAAUUGAACUAAUUUUGACUCUUUUUUGAACAAUUGUACCUUUUUCGAUCAAACAUUAUGUGCAUUUUGAAUAGUUAUUUAAUACCUAAAUAUACAUUUUCUAUCAUGUAGAGAUAUUGCGCGUACAAUGUUAAAAUAUUGGGAGCACGAGACCUAUUCUUAUGAAAUUUGGAAAUCCUAGACGAAUUUACCCUAAAAGUAAAGAUGGAAAGGGUUAUGAGAUUUGGAUUUGUUAAAUUUGAUGAAAUCUUCAUAAGUUUUAGGGUUUUGAAAAUAUGAUUUUCAUUACAUUUGUGAGCAAUGAAUUUUGUCAUUUUUGGGUUUUAAUCUUUGCAGGUUAUGUUAUUUACUGUAUAUGAUUUGUGAUUCAUUGCACUUCUAAUUCUUGCAAACUAUAUUCAUUGUAUUUUUGUAGGGACGUCAUCAAGAUGAAAUUAAAUAAAUAAAUUUAUAUAUCUUGACGAUAAACAAAUAACGAUUAAACCCAAAAAAUGAAAUAAAAUAAAAUCGAUGAUUCCACCGGACAGAAAAAUUCUUUAUUUGGCACAUAUUUCCCUGGAAAUAAUAAUAAACAAGACUUCGUAUUAUGUUUUCCCCAGAAAAUUGCAAGUAAAAAUCAAUUUUAAGAUUCUAUUCAACCCAUUUCACCAAAUUUUCCAAAGCAAAAUCAAAACUCAAACAGUCCAAUUUAGAAUAUAAAGCUUAUUGCAUUCACCAAAUACAAAACACUGAAGCAUGCAAUUUUUGCGCAGAACCUUACCAUUGUUGUCAAGAACAUGAAGAGCAAUGACCCAAUCACCAGCCUGAGCGACUUUCACGAGAGCCCACGUCAGCAAUUCCCGGCUCUGAGAAUCCAGCUUCAUCCCCACCACCACCGUCCUUCCGCCGGAGCUAGAUUCUCCGGCCACCACCAUCUGAGUCAUUUUCUUGAACAGAAAUUCAGAUUCCAAAAUUCCCUUUUAUCACUGCAGAUUUUGUUUCCCUCCGGCGGGAACUGUAAGAACCCGUUUGGAAAAAAUGGUCAUAUAAAGAGGUGGUCAACUUUGCAGGCCGUAUAAAGUUAGUUCUGGUUUUCUUUUCAAGAUUUUAGCGAGCAGCAGUCAGCAGUCAGAACCAGAAAAUUAGAUGGGAAUGUAGGUAUGCUUCAUUGGCUAAAGUUAUUAUUAUGAUGAAGAUGAACCAUGCCUUUUCAGUUUGGACUGUGGGAGUGGGACCCACCCGGGGCUUCCAUUGCC
RNAcentral lists this long non-coding RNA (1816 nucleotides) under Olea europaea (common olive). RNAcentral's name for it is "long non-coding RNA (OEUR_LNC002679)". The record is from RNAcentral. Lineage: Eukaryota; Viridiplantae; Streptophyta; Magnoliopsida; Lamiales; Oleaceae.